UACGUAGGGUGCGAGCGUUAAUCGGAAUUACUGGGCGUAAAGGGUGCGCAGGCCGCGCGGGCAGUCAAAUGUGUAAUUCAGGGGCUCAACCCCUGCACUGCGCUUGAUACUUCCGCGCUCGAGCUUUGGAGAGGAGUCUGGAAUUCUCGGUGUAGCAGUGAAAUGCGUGGAUAUCGAGAAGAACACUUAGGGCGUAGGCAAGACUCUGGACAAAUGCUGACGCUCAUGCACGAAGGCUAGGGUAGCGAACGGG
Molecule: ribosomal RNA, 253 nt
Filed under: uncultured bacterium
Lineage: Bacteria
Description: partial 16S ribosomal RNA
Rfam family: Bacterial small subunit ribosomal RNA
Source: RNAcentral